RNAcentral lists this unclassified non-coding RNA (333 nucleotides) under soil metagenome. Its description in RNAcentral is "partial contains 5.8S ribosomal RNA, internal transcribed spacer 2, and large subunit ribosomal RNA". The stretch from base 1 to 119 matches the Rfam family "5.8S ribosomal RNA", at positions 35 to 154 of the family's 154-position model. The record is from RNAcentral.
GAUGAAGACGUAGCGAAAUGCGAUAAGUAAUGUGAAUUGCAGAAUUCAGUGAAUCAUCGAAUCUUUGAACGCACAUUGCGCCCGCCAGUAUUCUGGCGGGCAUGCCUGUUCGAGCGUCAUUUCAACCAUCAAGCCCCGGGCUUGUGUUGGGGACCUGCGGCUGCCGCAGGCCCUGAAAUGCAGUGGCGGGCUCGCUGUCACUCCGAGCGUAGUAGUUACAUCUCGCUCUGGGCGUGCUGCGGGUUCCGGCCGUUAAAAGCCUUAUUUACCCAAGGUUGACCUCGGAUCAGGUAGGAAGACCCGCUGAACUUAAGCAUAUCAAUAAGCGGAGGA